CCCGUCACUGAAAUCACAAUGCAUAUAUAUACUCAAACACAGACAGAUAAGAAUAUUAUGACUAAAUCUAUUUACCAGAAUUAUGACUAAAGCAUUAAUUUCCUCUGUAAUGUGAUAUACAUAUGACUAAUAUUAACCAAACAUUUGUUUUUUUUCAACUAAGCACAUAACUUGUAUUAUCUUAUAGCCAUAUAGGCAUUAUUUUGACACACUCAUCUCUGACCGAUGACAGAAUUCUUCCUGAUUGUUACACUGAAACAUGUUUUUUUCUGUGAAACUGCUUUGUAUUGUGAAAAGUGUUAUUUACAUAAACUUGAAUAUGGCAAAUGCCAUGCAUGCUCAUUAAUUUGACAUUUUUAGGCUUGUUUCUAAGACAUUUGAUCACAAAUCACAGCAAGUGACCUUCUUCAGCCAUGGCUCCAAGUGAAAAAUGUUACAUGUAUGCAUGCACUAACAUAAUACAAUGGGUACAAAAUCGAUCACUAACUUUUCAAGCGUAUGAUUUGAGGAUGACGUUAGAUAGCUUUAUUAAAACGCUAUCCGACCUAUUACGGGCUUUUGUUAGGAGACAUAGGCGUCAGUUGAGUCCCAGACAGUGUGUUCGACUCCCCAGAGAGUUCAGGUACUCUCUCAGACACAAUCUGUCUGCUUCUGUCGGGAAGCAACAUCAACGAAAAGGAGUAAUAUGCACCUAAAAUGGCAUGCUGUUGCUUUAAAAGACACAUCUCUAUACGUCCCUGUUAAAUUCGAACGCAAAUUCCUAUUGUAAGGGUUCGAAGAAUGUCUAUUAUGACAUCAUCAGUGGAAUGAAUAAGUAUUCUGCCCCAAUUCCGAUCACACCUGCCACUGAAAACACGCGCAAACGCAUAUCGAUCCUCCAUUUGCAAAGGUUACAGCUCUGAGUCUUCACCUAUGAUGCCUGAUGAGUUUGGAGAACAGCUGAGAAGAGAUCAGAGACCAUUCCUUCAUCCAGAAUCACUCCAGAUCCUUCAGAUUCCCAGCUCCUUGUCUGUGCUUCUCCUCUUUAGUUCACCACACUCAUUUUCUAUAGGGUUCAGGUCAGGGGACUGGGAUGGCCAUGGCAGAAACUUUGUUGUGCUCAGUGACCCAUUUUUGUGUUGAUUUAGAUUUUUAUUUUGGAUCAUUGUCCUGAAUGAAGAUCCAACCAAGGCCCAUUGUAAGAUUCUUAACAGAGGCAGUCAGGUUUUGAUUUUUUUAUUUGAUAGAAUCCAUGAUGCCAUGUGUCUAAACACGAUUUCCAGGACCUCUGAAAGACCUCCUUAGGCUUUCUGACCCCAAGACUCUCCUCCUCACGUG
Molecule: long non-coding RNA, 1317 nt
Organism: Cyprinus carpio carpio
Lineage: Eukaryota; Metazoa; Chordata; Actinopteri; Cypriniformes; Cyprinidae
Source: Ensembl